This 831-nucleotide ribosomal RNA is filed under the name Bacillus pumilus. RNAcentral describes it as "bacterial SSU rRNA". It matches the Rfam family "Bacterial small subunit ribosomal RNA", at positions 54 to 867 of the family's 1533-position model. Lineage: Bacteria; Bacillati; Bacillota; Bacilli; Caryophanales; Bacillaceae. The record is from RNAcentral.
CAUGCAAGUCGAGCGGACAGAAGGGAGCUUGCUCCCGGAUGUUAGCGGCGGACGGGUGAGUAACACGUGGGUAACCUGCCUGUAAGACUGGGAUAACUCCGGGAAACCGGAGCUAAUACCGGAUAGUUCCUUGAACCGCAUGGUUCAAGGAUGAAAGACGGUUUCGGCUGUCACUUACAGAUGGACCCGCGGCGCAUUAGCUAGUUGGUGGGGUAAUGGCUCACCAAGGCGACGAUGCGUAGCCGACCUGAGAGGGUGAUCGGCCACACUGGGACUGAGACACGGCCCAGACUCCUACGGGAGGCAGCAGUAGGGAAUCUUCCGCAAUGGACGAAAGUCUGACGGAGCAACGCCGCGUGAGUGAUGAAGGUUUUCGGAUCGUAAAGCUCUGUUGUUAGGGAAGAACAAGUGCGAGAGUAACUGCUCGCACCUUGACGGUACCUAACCAGAAAGCCACGGCUAACUACGUGCCAGCAGCCGCGGUAAUACGUAGGUGGCAAGCGUUGUCCGGAAUUAUUGGGCGUAAAGGGCUCGCAGGCGGUUUCUUAAGUCUGAUGUGAAAGCCCCCGGCUCAACCGGGGAGGGUCAUUGGAAACUGGGAAACUUGAGUGCAGAAGAGGAGAGUGGAAUUCCACGUGUAGCGGUGAAAUGCGUAGAGAUGUGGAGGAACACCAGUGGCGAAAGGCGACUCUCUGGUCUGUAACUGACGCUGAGGAGCGAAAGCGUGGGGAGCGAACAGGAUUAGAUACCCUGGUAGUCCACGCCGUAAACGAUGAGUGCUAAGUGUUAGGGGUUUCCGCCCCUUAGUGCUGCAGCUAACGCAUUAAGCAC